UGAAGAAAUGUGUCUGUCCUGGCUGGCUGCAGGUCAUUCAGUGUUGAUUCUAAAUGUAUGUGCCCAACAACUUUCUUCAUAGGCUGAGUGCACUUCUGUGUUUGGGAAUCAUCAUGGAGAUUUGGCCCGAAGCACAUUUUUUUACAGAAAAUAUUUUUGCAUAAAAUCAGCUUUUAAAAUUGGUGGAAGCUCUCAUUUUGAAAUGAAAACAUUGGAAUGAGUUAUCAUAAUCCCUGUUUCAGAGUUCUUGCAAUCAGAAGUGAUGCUGCAUACCAGGAUAAUGAGACUGGGAGACCUGCUCCGAUGGGAGGGCACGGGUGCAGUGCACGAUGCUGUCAGCCGCCGGGGUACAGGGAGAGGUUUCCUUUGGGGAUUUAUUUGUUUUCAAAAGCAACUUGCUAUGGAGUCUGUGUGCCACCCAUUUGGAUGUACAAGAGAACGACCUUCAUCCUAAGGAAGAUCUCAGCCAUCAGUCUCCUGUGUCCUCGACAUCGGUGCAUGCUGUGACACCUAAAGCUGUGCCUGCCGCAGGGGUGGCUGCCGGAGCAGAGCCCGGAGUCAGGGCCAGCGACUGCGGCAUGGAAAUUCAUCUCAGCACCAGAUCCCCCUGCACUCCUGCUGUUGUCUGUCUUACACUGGCGUUUGAUACUCUCUGCUGAACGUCGACAUUUAAGUGUUUCAUCAAGGACGCUACGUUGCAAGAGCUAUCAGAUUUCCCACAUUUGCAAACAACAGCUAUGGUAAACGCUACCCUGCACUGGAGCGCUGUAAGGUAAAAAUAUUACAGUAUACAAGAUAAUCUUAUUAAAGAAUGUUCGCAGUGGAAUUGAAGCUUUUUUGUAUUGAUUUAAAGGUUUGAAACUACUGGGCUGUGUUCUUUGUGAUUUAUCUCUCCCUAUGGCUUGCUGUUUGACCUCUGGAAUCCAAAAGCUGAGCUCAGUUGCAUCGCUGUCGCUGGAUUAACGUUGUUCCUUGAACUGAACACAUUACCACAGUAUAUGUUAUUUCUGGGUAUUCCUGGGAAGUGCGUUUCACAUCAUUAUGAAUAUUUCAGUACACUGUUGUCGAAGCUGGGAUCGUGUAAGGAUCAAAGAGAGGCUAGGUGUGUAACAAAGAGACCGUAGCCAUUAGUGGACUAGCUAAUACAGCUGGAAAAGGCGGAGAGGAGUUUUUGGCUGGGAAUCACUUUAUCAGCAGAGGGGUGAAAGGAUGCUUUACCCAACA
This is a long non-coding RNA of Grus americana (Whooping crane), 1224 nucleotides long. RefSeq lists it as uncharacterized. Lineage: Eukaryota; Metazoa; Chordata; Aves; Gruiformes; Gruidae. The transcript is spliced from 4 exons. The record is from RefSeq and is a predicted model, not a curated record.